Molecule: ribosomal RNA, 400 nt
Filed under: phytoplankton environmental sample
Lineage: Eukaryota
Description: partial small subunit ribosomal RNA
Rfam family: Eukaryotic small subunit ribosomal RNA
Source: RNAcentral
AGCUCCAAUAGCGUAUAUUAAAGUUGUUGCAGUUAAAAAGCUCGUAGUUGGAUUCCUGGGGAGAGCGGCCGGUCGGGUUUCUUUAAGCUCGUUACUUGUGCUGUCUUUCGCCUUCCUUUGGGAGAGCUUGUCUGUGCAUUCAUUUGUACGGGCAAGGGACCCCAAUCGUUUACUGUGAAUAAAUUAGAGUGUUCCACGCAGGCAUUUUGCUGUGAAUACAUUAGCAUGGAAUAAUAAGAUAGGACUUUGGUGCUAUUUUGUUGGUUUGCACACCAAGGUAAUGAUUAACAGGGACAGUUGGGGGUAUUCGUAUUUAAUUGUCAGAGGUGAAAUUCAUGGAUUUAUGAAAGACGAACUACUGCGAAAGCAUUUACCAAGGAUGUUUUCAUUAAUCAAGAAC